UACGGAGGGUGCAAGCGUUGUUCGGAAUUACUGGGCGUAAAGAGCACGUAGGCGGGUUCAUAAGCUAAUUGUGAAAGCCCUGGGCUUAACCUGGGAAUUGCAGUUAGAACUGUGGAUCUUGAAUGCUUGAGAGGUUGGGGAAAUUCCUGGUGUAGAAGUGAAAUUCGUAGAUAUCAGGAGGAACACCGGAGGCGAAGGCGCCUGACUGGCAAUGCAUUGACGCUGAGGUGCGAAAGCGUGGGUAGCAAACAGG
Molecule: ribosomal RNA, 253 nt
Filed under: uncultured bacterium
Lineage: Bacteria
Description: partial 16S ribosomal RNA
Rfam family: Bacterial small subunit ribosomal RNA
Source: RNAcentral